This 253-nucleotide unclassified non-coding RNA is filed under the name Methanobacteriota archaeon. RNAcentral's name for it is "partial 16S ribosomal RNA". It matches the Rfam family "Bacterial small subunit ribosomal RNA", at positions 524 to 776 of the family's 1533-position model. The record is from RNAcentral. RNAcentral also lists the same sequence under 1 other name. Lineage: Archaea; Methanobacteriati; Methanobacteriota.
UACAGAGGGCCCGAGCGUUGCGCGGAAUCACUGGGCUUAAAGCGUGCGUAGGCGGAUCCGUAAGUACCUUGUGAAAUCCCACGGCUCAACCGUGGAACUGCUCGGUAUACUGCGGGUCUUGAGGUCGGUAGGGGCCGUCGGAACAGUAGGUGGAGCGGUGAAAUGCGUAGAUAUCUACUGGAACGCCAAAGGCGAAGGCAGACGGCUGGGCCGAUUCUGACGCUCAGGCACGAAAGCGUGGGGAGCAAACGGG